UGUAAGCGUAUACCAAAGUUGUUGCAGUUAAAACGCUCGUAGUCGGAAUUUGGCAGUUCCGGAUGUGUGCACGUCGUGUGCGCACUUCGCGGGGAUUGCUUUUGUGGUCUUGCGUAGGAUGAGGCACUUUUAUUAGUGAACGUCCUCACGCAACCACUUUUUACUGUGAGAAAAUCAGAGUGCUCAAAGCAGGCAUUUGCCGUGAAUGUUUUAGCAUGGAAUAAUAGAAUAGGACUUGGUUCUAUUUUGUUGGUUUGUUGGGACUGAGUAAUGAUUAAGAGGGACAGUUGGGGGCAUUUGUAUUUCGGUGCUAGAGGUGAAAUUCUUAGAUUACCGAAAGACAAACUGCUGCGAAAGCGUCUGCCAAGGAUGUUUUCAUUGA
Molecule: ribosomal RNA, 382 nt
Filed under: uncultured eukaryote
Lineage: Eukaryota
Description: partial 18S ribosomal RNA
Rfam family: Eukaryotic small subunit ribosomal RNA
Source: RNAcentral